UACGAGGGGGGCAAGCGUUGUUCGGAAUUAUUGGGCGUAAAGGGUUCGUAGGCGGUGUGGCAAGUCGGAAGUGAAAUCUCCAGGCUUAACUUGGAGGCUGCUUCCGAAACUGCCGUGCUAGAGUGCGGGAGAGGCCAGUGGAAUUGCAGGUGUAGCGGUGAAAUGCGUAGAUAUCUGCAGGAACACCCGUGGCGAAGGCGGCUGGCUGGACCGCAACUGACGCUGAGGAACGAAAGCUAGGGGAGCAAACAGG
RNAcentral lists this ribosomal RNA (253 nucleotides) under uncultured bacterium. RNAcentral describes it as "partial 16S ribosomal RNA". It matches the Rfam family "Bacterial small subunit ribosomal RNA", at positions 524 to 776 of the family's 1533-position model. The record is from RNAcentral.